Molecule: ribosomal RNA, 520 nt
Filed under: uncultured bacterium
Lineage: Bacteria
Description: bacterial SSU rRNA
Rfam family: Bacterial small subunit ribosomal RNA
Source: RNAcentral
GACGAACGCUGGCGGCGUGCCUAACACAUGCAAGUCGAGCGAGAAUACCUUCGGGUAUUCUAGCGGCGGACGGGUGAGUAACACGUGGGUAACCUGCCUUACACAGGGGGAUAGCCUUCCGAAAGGAAGAUUAAUACCGCAUAAGAAGUAAUUACCGCAUGGUAGUAGCUUUAAAGGAGCAAUCCGGUGUAAGAUGGACCCGCGGCGCAUUAGCUAGUUGGUGAGGUAAUGGCUCACCAAGGCAACGAUGCGUAGCCGACCUGAGAGGGUGAUCGGCCACAUUGGAACUGAGAGACGGUCCAGACUCCUACGGGAGGCAGCAGUGGGGAAUAUUGCACAAUGGAGGAAACUCUGAUGCAGCAACGCCGCGUGAGUGACGAAGGCCUUCGGUUGUUAAGACUCUGUCAUCUGGGACGAGUAAUAGACGGUACCGAGGAAGGAAGGGAAGGCCGACGGACCGUAACUAACCGUGCCCACGCGACGCCGGCCGGUAAGUACGACGACGGAGGUAACGUGAGGC